This 448-nucleotide ribosomal RNA is filed under the name uncultured bacterium. RNAcentral's name for it is "bacterial SSU rRNA". It matches the Rfam family "Bacterial small subunit ribosomal RNA", at positions 329 to 794 of the family's 1533-position model. The record is from RNAcentral.
GUCCAGACUCCUACGGGAGGCAGCAGUGGGGGAUAUUGCACAAUGGGGGGAACCCUGAUGCAGCGACGCCGCGUGAGCGAUGAAGUAUUUCGGUAUGUAAAGCUCUAUCAGCAGGGAAGAAAAUGACGGUACCUGACUAAGAAGCCCCGGCUAACUACGUGCCAGCAGCCGCGGUAAUACGUAGGGGGCAAGCGUUAUCCGGAUUUACUGGGUGUAAAGGGAGCGUAGACAGCAGUGCAAGUCUGAAGUGAAAGGCAAGGGCUCAACCCUUGGACUGCUUUGGAAACUGUCCGGCUGGAGUGCAGGAGAGGUAAGUGGAAUUCCUAGUGUAGCGGUGAAAUGCGUAGAUAUUAGGAGGAACACCAGUGGCGAAGGCGGCUUACUGGACUGUAACUGACGUUGAGGCUCGAAAGCGUGGGGAGCAAACAGGAUUAGAUACCCCUGUAAU